This 72-nucleotide transfer RNA is filed under the name Cyanobacteria bacterium UBA11371. Its description in RNAcentral is "tRNA-Phe". It matches the Rfam family "tRNA". From Rfam's summary of the family: Transfer RNA (tRNA) molecules are approximately 80 nucleotides in length. Their secondary structure includes four short double-helical elements and three loops (D, anti-codon, and T loops). The record is from RNAcentral. RNAcentral also lists the same sequence under 2 other names. Lineage: Bacteria; Bacillati; Cyanobacteriota.
GGGAAUGUAGCUGAGAUGGAUUAGCGUCAGAUUGAAGCUCUGAAGACGCAGGAUCGUUACCUGCCUUUCCCA